Molecule: long non-coding RNA, 2681 nt
Organism: Gossypium arboreum
Lineage: Eukaryota; Viridiplantae; Streptophyta; Magnoliopsida; Malvales; Malvaceae
Exons: 2
Source: RefSeq, a predicted model, not a curated record
AAAAAUAAUUAAGUCAAUAAGUCAAUGCUUUAGAUGUUUGACACUAAAAUUGUGUUUGGUAUGAACAAAGGUUAUCACUUUUCAAGAAAUUUAUUUGAAAAAAAAAAAAUCAUAUUGUGGAUUGAUUCAAAUAUUUGCUAAUAAUGAGUGAGAAUUAAGGCUGAAAUUUCGUGAUUGAGCUUUGGAUUUAUUCCUGUCUGCCUGUUGGCACGCCUUUGUCGGCUUGUUGGCACGCCUUUGUCCCUUUGCUUCUUUAAUCUCGUACUUGUUGAUUUUCUUGUUGUUCUACCCACGGGGGUGGUUUUUGGGUAUUGUUUUGUUGUUGUAGAAGCGUGAUGGAAAGAGGAAUAGCAUAUCUGAGUAUAGAGGAUCGGGAAGAAGAGGCUUUCUCUGUUCCGGAUGGAGUGGAGCCUCAGAAUUCAGUUUAUAAUUUCUGUUUGGUGGGCUGGUACUUGACAGCAAGUGUGGUUCAUUUUCCAGCCAUGAGGAACAUGAUGGCUAACUUAUGGCAUCCAUUGGACGGAAUGCAGAUUUCAAAUCUAGGCGAAAAAUGUUUUUUAUUCAAAUUCUUUAAUGAGUUAGAUAUCAGUCGGGUGAUUACAGGUGUUCCCUGGACCUUCAACAAUCAUAUUUUGAUUAUGCAUAGAUUACAGGACAAUGAGGAUCCUAUGUCAAUUUCGCUGUUGUAUUCAGACUUUUGGGUUUAGGUGCAUGAUUUACCACUGAGAUUUUUCAAAGAAUCAGUGGUCAUGGGGAUAAUUUCUGCCUAGUGAUAUUACAUCACGACAUGCAUGAGACAGAGAUGGGGUGGGAUUUAACGCUGUGUGCACAGUCGAGAAGAGCUACAACAAUGAAUAGCAUUUGGCUAAGGGAGGAAGGAAAUGGGAGUUUUUUUUGGAAAGAAUAGUGAUGGAUAGCAGGUUGGACAAGAUUCAAGUCAAAAUUACGGGAAAGAAUCAUGGGAUUUAAUUUGAAGGGAUCUGCAAUUAAAAAAAUUUGAUUGGGGUGGGAUCCUCUAAUAGGUCAAGCCUGGUGAUUAUGGAGCGUGAUUUGGAUGAUAACCCAAUUAAAAAUGUUUGAGGGAAAUAAGUGACAACGUUUUGAUUUUUUUAUCUCUAACGUUUGUAGGAAUCAAGAUUCGCUAGAGAUCAAUGAUGGGCAUAUUGCCCAUAAUCAACAGUAAUCGGCGGACAAAAUGAAGAUCUUAUGUUGGAAUAUCCGCAGGUUGGGGAGUGCGCAUGCAGUACGUAGACUUCAGCAUAUACUGAAUAUUUAUAAUCUCCAAAUUGUCUUCUUUAUAGAGAAAAUUAGAAGGCGUUGUGGAAUUUUUAAUGGUGUUGAUGUUCCUGCUGAUGCUACUUACAGAGAGUUGAGUUUUGGAUGGAAUGGAAGAUAGUUAGUUACUCUUAGGAGCUUAUUGAGGAACUACAUUGAUGUUGAAAUUCAGGAGAAUAAGGAAAAUACAUGAUGGAGGUUAAUAGGCUUUUAUGGGGCACCAGAUGUGAGAGAAAAGGUUGAAACGUAGAACCUACUUCGGACAUUGGGUAGGAAUAGUGAUUUACCAUGGCUAGUUAGAGGAAAAUUCAAUGAUAUCCUCUACGUGCAUGAAAAAUAAGGAGGAUUACUAAGAGAGGAAGAUAGAAUGGAGGAAUUUCGUACGAACUUUAGAAGACUGCCAAUUGGGGGAUAUAGGUUAUUCGGGUCCAUGGUUUACGUGAGAGAGGGGGAAUGUGAUAGAAAGGAGAAUUAAGGAAAGAAUUGAUAGAGAGGUAGCAACUUCAGAAUGGUUACAACUCUUCCCAGAAUGUUCGCUAAGACAUUUAUCUUACUCAUUCUUAGAUCAUUGUCUACUAAUCCAAAUGGAGUAUGAGGGGUUGAGAAGAAGAAAGAGUAGGUUUUAUUUUGAAGCUUGGCAGACUUUAAAAGAGACAUUAGGGAGAAAUCAUAAGAUGAUGGGAAGAGAGUUCAGGUGGUUUUAUGGAUAAAAUUGUGGCUCUCACUGUUGGAAUGCAAACUUGGGUAGGAAAAAAAAAGACAGGAAGUGAAGUGGUUAAUGAGAAGAUUAGAGGAAUUGGAUGACUAUGACAGAUCGGACGAAAUUUUGGCUGAGUUGUGGAUGUGAAAUUACAUUUAAAAAUGGAGAUGGAGAUGGAAAAGGAAGAAAGGUAUUGGAGGCUAAAGUGAAUUGGCUGAAAAUGGGAGAAAAAAUACUUCAUUUUUCCAUAAUCAUGAAUCUUAGAGAUGGCGCAUGAAUCAAAUAGGGGGUCUAUAAAGGGAAGACGAUACACUGACCUUUGAUCUUCAUGAGAUGGAAGAUAUUGCUCGAAACUAUUUUAAAAAUUGUUUGAGACGAAAGGGGUUGGAAAUCUUGAACAUGUGCUGCCUGGGGUAUCAACAAAAGCUUCGGGGACAAACAACAUUCCAGCACUUUUCUACCAGAAAUUCUGGCAAAUUGUUGGUAAAAAUACUAGCUCUUUCUAUUUGAAUAUUCUAAAUAAUGGAAAUUCUUUGGAAGAUCUAAAUAAAACUAGUAUAGUUUUAAUACCAAAGAUUUCUCAUCCUUUUAAUCAAAAAAACUUUUGCCCUAUGAGUCUAUGUACGGUGAUUUAUAAGAUUAUUGCUCAGACUGUUGCUAAUCGCCUACAAAAGGUUAUGGACUUUUGAGUUGAUGAUUCUUAGAA